Molecule: long non-coding RNA, 639 nt
Organism: Cyprinus carpio carpio
Lineage: Eukaryota; Metazoa; Chordata; Actinopteri; Cypriniformes; Cyprinidae
Source: Ensembl
AUGUGCCACAUGAAAAGUUGCUCAUGGAGGACAGGGAAUAUACCUAGCUUCAACUUUUUAGGAGGCCUUUCGACCAGAACAUGGAGGCUGAAGCUCAAGCUCAUCCUUGAGAGCAUCUUGACAUAUGCCAGUGCACUGUUGCUGAUAGUGAGGAAACAAAGCUGUGGAAUUUCUUCACAUAGUUGCUGCCAAUGCUGUGGAUUGUGCUUUCAGUAUUGGUGGAUAUCAAUUAGCAUGUAGCUUUGUACGUUUCUGUUUCUUAAAAAAUAUUGCCAAUUAUCUUUCUAAUUCUUUGUGUUGCUAACAAUCAUAAAGACUUUAUGUAAACUGUGAUAGCCUGCAUUUUUUUGUACAUUAGAUGCUUUGUGAUUACCUUGGAAAGAUUAAAAUCAUAUUAGUGCACAUUGCAUCACUUAAGUAUUGCUUUCAUAUACAAAUAGUGAGUCAAUAAGGCGUAUUAUUGAGUCUACAUCUCUUGUGUUUAUUGACAGAAGGGCUUGGAGGCCUAAGUGACUAGAACAUUCUUGAGUUUCUUCAGGAUAACAUGUUCUUUGCUUGUCUUGAAGUAAUUUUCCUCCUCCUUCUAUAAAAGAAAUGUGCACUGGAUGUGUGCUUAUCCAACAAACAAUAAACGUAUCU